GUGGAGAACGGCAGUGCCCUUUAGUACAUGGAGAACGGCAGUGCCCGUGAGCACCUGGAGAACGGCAGUGCCCUUUAGUACGUGGAGAACGGCGGUGCCCUUUAGUACAUGGAGAACAGCAGUGCCCGUGAGCACCUGGAGAACGGCAGUGCCCUUGAGCAUGUGGAGAACGGCGGUGCCCUUUAGUACGUGGAGAACGACGGUGCCCUUGAGCACGUGGAGAACGGCGGUGCCCGUGAGCACCUGGAGAAUGGCGGUGCCCUUGAGCACGUGGAGAACGGCGGUGCCCUUUAGUACAUGGAGAACGGUGGUGCCCGUGAGCACGUGGAGAACGGCAGUGCCCUUGAGCACUCGGAGAACGGCAGUGCCCUUUAGAGAGUGUACUUUUUCUACAAACAAAAGUUAACAGUGAAGCAGCCUCAGGCAGGUCCUGCAGGAGGUGUCCAGAAGAAGGCCUUGUGAUCACAGGAGGUGACAGCUCUGUGCAUUCAUCACGCUGAAGACCUGCCACUGGAACAAGGUAUGGAGGGGAAGAUGGCAAUCUUGAUGAUCCUGACCCAGUGCAGGCCUAGGCCAAUGUGUGUUUGUGUCUUCAUUUUUAACAAAA
This 607-nucleotide long non-coding RNA is filed under the name Homo sapiens (human). RNAcentral describes it as "non-protein coding lnc-FAM120B-6:1". The record is from RNAcentral. Lineage: Eukaryota; Metazoa; Chordata; Mammalia; Primates; Hominidae.